Molecule: ribosomal RNA, 440 nt
Filed under: uncultured bacterium
Lineage: Bacteria
Description: bacterial SSU rRNA
Rfam family: Bacterial small subunit ribosomal RNA
Source: RNAcentral
CCUACGGGAGGCUGCAGUGGGGAAUAUUGCACAAUGGGGGAAACCCUGAUGCAGCAACGCCGCGUGAGCGAUGAAGGCCUUCGGGUCGUAAAGCUCUGUCCGAAGGGAAGAGUACUGACGGUACCUUAGGAGGAAGCCCCGGCUAACUACGUGCCAGCAGCCGCGGUAAUACGUAGGGGGCUAGCGUUAUCCGGAAUUACUGGGCGUAAAGGGUGCGUAGGCGGCCCUUUAAGUCAGAGGUGAAGGGCUACGGCUCAACCGUAGUAAGGGUUUGAAACUGUAGGGCUUGAGUGAAGGAGAGGAGAGUGGAAUUCCCAGUGGGACGGUGAAACGCGUAGAUAUAGGGAGGAACACCAGUUGCGAAGGCGGCUCUCUGGACUGUAGCUGACGCUGAGGCACGAAAGCGAGGAGAGCGAACAGGAUUAGAUACCCCGGUAGUC